Long non-coding RNA from Ipomoea nil (Japanese morning glory), 91 nucleotides. RefSeq lists it as uncharacterized. NCBI's taxonomy places the organism in Eukaryota, Viridiplantae, Streptophyta, Magnoliopsida, Solanales, Convolvulaceae. The transcript is spliced from 3 exons. The record is from RefSeq and is a predicted model, not a curated record.
GUUAUUUGUGUAACAAGUUGGGCAUGAUCAAUGUCUUUGCUCCAACUUGAGCGGGAGUGUUAUAGAAUAUUCUGUAAAUGUGAUUAGGAAA